CUACGGGGUGCUGCAGUGAGGAAUAUUGCACAAUGGGGGGAACCCUGAUGCAGCAACGCCGCGUGGAGGAUGACGCAUUUCGGUGUGUAAACUCCUUUUAUAUGUCAAGAAAAUGACGGUAGCAUAUGAAUAAGCACCGGCUAACUCCGUGCCAGCAGCCGCAGUAAUACGGAGGGUGCAAGCGUUACUCGGAAUCACUGGGCGUAAAGGACGCGUAGGCGGGUUGGAAAGUCAGGUGUGAAAUCCUACAGCUUAACUGUAGAACUGCACUUGGAACUUCUAAUCUAGAGUAUGGGAGGGGGAGAUGGAAUUAGUGGUGUAGGGGUAAAAUCCGUAGAUAUCACUAGGAAUACCUAAAGCGAAGGCGAUCUCCUGGAACAUUACUGACGCUAAGGCGUGAAAGCGUGGGGAGCAAACAGGAUUAGAUACCCUAGUAGUC
This 439-nucleotide ribosomal RNA is filed under the name uncultured bacterium. RNAcentral's name for it is "partial 16S ribosomal RNA". It matches the Rfam family "Bacterial small subunit ribosomal RNA", at positions 339 to 795 of the family's 1533-position model. The record is from RNAcentral.